CCAGACUCCUACGGGAGGCAGCAGUAGGGAAUCUUCGGCAAUGGACGGAAGUCUGACCGAGCAACGCCGCGUGAGUGAAGAAGGUUUUCGGAUCGUAAAGCUCUGUUGUAAGAGAAGAACGAGUGUGAGAGUGGAAAGUUCACACUGUGACGGUAUCUUACCAGAAAGGGACGGCUAACUACGUGCCAGCAGCCGCGGUAAUACGUAGGUCCCGAGCGUUGUCCGGAUUUAUUGGGCGUAAAGCGAGCGCAGGCGGUUAGAUAAGUCUGAAGUUAAAGGCUGUGGCUUAACCAUAGUACGCUUUGGAAACUGUUUAACUUGAGUGCAAGAGGGGAGAGUGGAAUUCCAUGUGUAGCGGUGAAAUGCGUAGAUAUAUGGAGGAACACCGGUGGCGAAAGCGGCUCUCUGGCUUGUAACUGACGCUGAGGCUCGAAAGCGUGGGGAGCAAACAGGAUUAGAUACCCUGGUAGUCCACGCCGUAAACGAUGAGUGCUAGGUGUUAGACCCUUUCCGGGGUUUAGUGCCGCAGCUAACGCAUUAAGCACUCCGCCUGGGGAGUACGACCGCAAGGUUGAAACUCAAAGGAAUUGACGGGGGCCCCGCACAAGAAGG
Molecule: ribosomal RNA, 612 nt
Filed under: uncultured bacterium
Lineage: Bacteria
Description: bacterial SSU rRNA
Rfam family: Bacterial small subunit ribosomal RNA
Source: RNAcentral